This 19-nucleotide small nuclear RNA is filed under the name Arabidopsis thaliana (thale cress). Its description in RNAcentral is "snRNA_02605". Lineage: Eukaryota; Viridiplantae; Streptophyta; Magnoliopsida; Brassicales; Brassicaceae. The record is from RNAcentral.
AGUUCCAGAGUCUACACUC